Molecule: ribosomal RNA, 253 nt
Filed under: uncultured bacterium
Lineage: Bacteria
Description: partial 16S ribosomal RNA
Rfam family: Bacterial small subunit ribosomal RNA
Source: RNAcentral
UACGGAGGAUCCAAGCGUUAUCCGGAAUCAUUGGGUUUAAAGGGUUCGUAGGCGGUGUGGCAAGUCGGGAGUGAAAUCUCUGGGCUCAACUCAGAGACUGCUUCCGAAACUGCUGUGCUGGAGUGUGGGAGAGGCGCGUGGAAUUGCAGGUGUAGCGGUGAAAUGCGUAGAUAUCUGCAGGAACACCCGUGGCGAAAGCGGCGCGCUGGACCACUACUGACGCUGAGGAACGAAAGCUAGGGGAGCAAACAGG